This 448-nucleotide ribosomal RNA is filed under the name uncultured bacterium. RNAcentral's name for it is "bacterial SSU rRNA". It matches the Rfam family "Bacterial small subunit ribosomal RNA", at positions 329 to 794 of the family's 1533-position model. The record is from RNAcentral.
CCCCAGACUCCUACGGGAGGCAGCAGUGGGGAAUAUUGCACAAUGGGGGAAACCCUGAUGCAGCGACGCCGCGUGAGCGAUGAAGUAUUUCGGUAUGUAAAGCUCUAUCAGCAGGGAAGAAGAUGACGGUACCUGACUAAGAAGCCCCGGCUAACUACGUGCCAGCAGCCGCGGUAAUACGUAGGGGGCAAGCGUUAUCCGGAUUUACUGGGUGUAAAGGGAGCGUAGACGGCGAUGCAAGCCAGAUGUGAAAGCCCGGGGCUCAACCCCGGGACUGCAUUUGGAACUGUGUGGCUGGAGUGUCGGAGAGGCAGGCGGAAUUCCUAGUGUAGCGGUGAAAUGCGUAGAUAUUAGGAGGAACACCAGUGGCGAAGGCGGCCUGCUGGACGAUGACUGACGUUGAGGCUCGAAAGCGUGGGGAGCAAACAGGAUUAGAUACCCGAGUAGA